This 907-nucleotide ribosomal RNA is filed under the name Triticum aestivum (bread wheat). RNAcentral describes it as "partial small subunit ribosomal RNA". The record is from RNAcentral. Lineage: Eukaryota; Viridiplantae; Streptophyta; Magnoliopsida; Poales; Poaceae.
CCCCACCCUCUCAUCCUCCCUCCCUCCCCCGACCGAUUUUGACGACUCCUUUGACCUCUCGCGCUGUCCCUCCCNNNNNNCGCCCCGCCUGCGUCGCCGCGCCAAGCUCCAGGCGCCCCCGCCCCCUGGUCGGUGGAUUCCAUGGCCAACAGCAACCUCCCCCGCCGGAUCAUCAAGGAGACGCAGCGGCUGCUCAGCGAACCAGCGCCGGGGAUCAGCGCCUCGCCGUCGGAGGAGAACAUGCGCUACUUCAAUGUCAUGGUCCUUGGCCCCGCGCAGUCGCCCUACGAAGGUGGAGUCUUCAAGCUUGAACUUUUCUUACCCGAGGAAUAUCCGAUGGCUGCUCCUAAAGUUAGGUUUCUCACAAAAAUAUACCAUCCCAACAUUGACAAGCUUGGUAGAAUAUGCCUCGACAUCCUAAAGGACAAGUGGAGUCCAGCUCUUCAGAUACGCACUGUUCUUCUUAGCAUUCAGGCACUGCUGAGCGCCCCAAACCCAGAUGAUCCCCUCUCAGAAAACGUCGCAAAACACUGGAAAUCCAAUGAAGCUGAAGCUGUUGAGACAGCGAAGGAAUGGACUCGUAUGUAUGCCAGUGGCGCAUGACAAGCUAACGCUGUUAUGGAUGUAAUAACACCGUGUCAUAGUUGGGCCUAAUCGAAAACCAUUUGCUUGAUAAAAACACACUUGAAAUGAUUUGCGAUGGACGAAUGUAUCCAGAGUGGCAUCAUUUCUAGUUGGUGGUUGUAUUUGUGGUGCGUGUUCUGGCACGCUUCAUAACUUGCUGCUUAUAGAACAUGCUCUGUUUCUCGUUCAUCUUCAAUUGUUUCUCCAAUUAAAAAUAUCUGUUAUGAUCCGAGUAUGUAAUCUCUCCAAAUGAUAAUAGUGGCUCUCUGUUUGUAUUUCUCCC